RNAcentral lists this microRNA precursor (126 nucleotides) under Dictyostelium discoideum. RNAcentral's name for it is "microRNA ddi-mir-7101 precursor". Lineage: Eukaryota; Evosea; Eumycetozoa; Dictyosteliales; Dictyosteliaceae. The record is from miRBase by way of RNAcentral.
UAAUUGAAAACUGUGGUCCACAAUUGAUGUUCAGCUCACCAAUCUCAACACCAAGAGCAAUAGUAAUAAUAUGGUGUUGAUAUUGGUUAGUUGAACAUCAAUUGUGGACCCAAUAUGCUUUCAAUU